GUGCCAGCCGCCGCGGUAAGACAGAGGGUGCAAACGUUGUUCGGAAUUACUGGGCAUAAAGCGCACGUAGGUGGUUCGUUAAGUCGCGUGUGAAACCCCCCGGCUCAACCGGGGAAUUGCGCGCGAUACUGGCGGGCUUGAGAUCGGGAGGGGUGAGCGGAACUCCAGGUGGAGCGGUGAAAUGCGUAGAUAUCUGGAGGAACACCGGUGGCGAAAGCGGCUCACUGGCCCGACACUGACGCUGAGGUGCGAAAGCUAGGGGAGCAAACGGGAUUAGAUACCCCGGUAGUCCUGGCCUUAAACGAUGAGAACUAGGUAGUGGGUCCGACCUGGGCACACUGCCGAAGCGAAAGUCUUAAGUUCUCCGCCUGGGGAGUGUGGUCGCAAGGCUGAAACUCAAAGGAAUUGACGG
This 412-nucleotide ribosomal RNA is filed under the name uncultured bacterium. RNAcentral's name for it is "bacterial SSU rRNA". It matches the Rfam family "Bacterial small subunit ribosomal RNA", at positions 505 to 916 of the family's 1533-position model. The record is from RNAcentral.